This is a long non-coding RNA of Helianthus annuus (common sunflower), 734 nucleotides long. RefSeq lists it as uncharacterized. The transcript is spliced from 2 exons. Lineage: Eukaryota; Viridiplantae; Streptophyta; Magnoliopsida; Asterales; Asteraceae. The record is from RefSeq and is a predicted model, not a curated record.
CAAACCCCUAACAUAAAAACUUCAGAGAACAAAGUAACUGGCCUCCACCUUCAGCAACAUCAGAGUAUCAGCAACGGCGCCUCCACCUCCGCCGACACCGACCGUCCUCCGCCUCCACCUUCCGACCACCUCCACCAUUGUUCAUUCUGUCAAAUCUUUUCUGGAUUUUCUAGGUGUAUUUCUUGUAAAUUUUGGAGAAAAAAGAGACGGAGAUAAAUGGUGGGAUAUGAAAAAAUAUUGACUUUAGUGAUAAUGCCCGAUCCGACCCGAAAAUUCGAACAUUUGAGUUGACCAAAACUUAAACACCUAAAAAGUGAACCCAGUGAAAAAAAUUUCUGGAUCCGCCACUGCUUGAAAGCAAGAUUCCCUAUAUUAAAGAGGAUGACAUCAUUUUCCAUUGCAUGUUUCGCGCUACAUAAUUUUAUAAGGAAAGAGGGUUUGAGCGAUGAGUUGUUUACAAACUACGAUCAACCCAAUGUGUCGUUACAUAAUAGGCAAGUGCACGUUAACGAUGAUGAAGACGAGGUUGAAGCACAUGGUACUGCAUCGGAUCGGGAAUAUAUGACUCAGUUAUGAGAUGAGAUUGCUGGGCAGUUAAUGCAAAGUCCAAUAAAUGAUUUAAAAAAAUGUUAAUUGUGUUUUAUGAAUAUUAUUUUAGCAUUCUAUAACUAUUAUUUAAAUUUGUAUGUUGAAAAACUCUUUUAAGUUUAAUAAAUCAGUUUAUUUUUAUUUUA